AGAGUUUGAUCAUGGCUCAGGAUGAACGCUGGCGGCGUGCCUAAUACAUGCAAGUCGAGCGAACGGACGAGAAGCUUGCUUCUCUGAUGUUAGCGGCGGACGGGUGAGUAACACGUGGAUAACCUACCUAUAAGACUGGGAUAACUUCGGGAAACCGGAGCUAAUACCGGAUAAUAUUUUGAACCGCAUGGUUCAAAAGUGAAAGACGGUCUUGCUGUCACUUAUAGAUGGAUCCGCGCUGCAUUAGCUAGUUGGUAAGGUAACGGCUUACCAAGGCAACGAUGCAUAGCCGACCUGAGAGGGUGAUCGGCCACACUGGAACUGAGACACGGUCCAGACUCCUACGGGAGGCAGCAGUAGGGAAUCUUCCGCAAUGGGCGAAAGCCUGACGGAGCAACGCCGCGUGAGUGAUGAAGGUCUUCGGAUCGUAAAACUCUGUUAUUAGGGAAGAACAUAUGUGUAAGUAACUGUGCACAUCUUGACGGUACCUAAUCAGAAAGCCACGGCUAACUACGUGCCAGCAGCCGCGGUAAUACGUAGGUGGCAAGCGUUAUCCGGAAUUAUUGGGCGUAAAGCGCGCGUAGGCGGUUUUUUAAGUCUGAUGUGAAAGCCCACGGCUCAACCGUGGAGGGUCAUUGGAAACUGGAAAACUUGAGUGCAGAAGAGGAAAGUGGAAUUCCAUGUGUAGCGGUGAAAUGCGCAGAGAUAUGGAGGAACACCAGUGGCGAAGGCGACUUUCUGGUCUGUAACUGACGCUGAUGUGCGAAAGCGUGGGGAUCAAACAGGAUUAGAUACCCUGGUAGUCCACGCCGUAAACGAUGAGUGCUAAGUGUUAGGGGGUUUCCGCCCCCUUAGUGCUGCAGCUAACGCAUUAAGCACUCCGCCUGGGGAGUACGACCGCAAGGUUGAAACUCAAAGGAAUUGACGGGGACCCGCACAAGCGGUGGAGCAUGUGGUUUAAUUCGAAGCAACGCGAAGAACCUUACCAAACCUUGACAUCCUUUGACAACUCUAGAGAUAGAGCUUUCCCCUUCGGGGGACAAAGUGACAGGUGGUGCAUGGUUGUCGUCAGCUCGUGUCGUGAGAUGUUGGGUUAAGUCCCGCAACGAGCGCAACCCUUAAGCUUAGUUGCCAUCAUUAAGUUGGGCACUCUAAGUUGACUGCCGGUGACAAACCGGAGGAAGGUGGGGAUGACGUCAAAUCAUCAUGCCCCUUAUGAUUUGGGCUACACACGUGCUACAAUGGACAAUACAAAGGGCAGCGAAACCGCGAGGUCAAGCAAAUCCCAUAAAGUUGUUCUCAGUUCGGAUUGUAGUCUGCAACUCGACUACAUGAAGCUGGAAUCGCUAGUAAUCGUAGAUCAGCAUGCUACGGUGAAUACGUUCCCGGGUCUCGUACACACCGCCCGUCACACCACGAGAGUUUGUAACACCCGAAGCCGGUGGAGUAACCUUUUAGGAGCUAGCCGUCGAAGGUGGGACAAAUGAUUGGGGUGAAGUCGUAACAAGGUAACC
This 1514-nucleotide ribosomal RNA is filed under the name Staphylococcus simiae. RNAcentral's name for it is "partial 16S ribosomal RNA". It matches the Rfam family "Bacterial small subunit ribosomal RNA". The record is from RNAcentral. Lineage: Bacteria; Bacillati; Bacillota; Bacilli; Caryophanales; Staphylococcaceae.